This 71-nucleotide transfer RNA is filed under the name Strongylura anastomella. Its description in RNAcentral is "tRNA-Ser". It matches the Rfam family "tRNA". From Rfam's summary of the family: Transfer RNA (tRNA) molecules are approximately 80 nucleotides in length. Lineage: Eukaryota; Metazoa; Chordata; Actinopteri; Beloniformes; Belonidae. The record is from RNAcentral.
AAGAAAGUGACAGAUUGGAGAUGUGAUUGGCUUGAAACCAGUUUAUGAGGGUUCAAUUCCCUCCUUUCUCG